Molecule: long non-coding RNA, 707 nt
Organism: Oncorhynchus nerka (sockeye salmon)
Lineage: Eukaryota; Metazoa; Chordata; Actinopteri; Salmoniformes; Salmonidae
Exons: 4
Source: RefSeq, a predicted model, not a curated record
GGGGGACUAUCAUCAUCAUCAUCAUCAUCGCAGAAGCAGCCUACCUACCAUGGCCUGAUGAUGAUGUUGACCAAGACUCCAGGCCCAAGACAUUGUUACAUGUUUUUCUUGACUUUAACUUUUUUUGUGAGUUCAGUUGAUGAUAACUGUAGAAGACCUUGACAACAUACAGCAUAUUCUUUAUUAGAGUGCACCAUCAUCUCUCUCUCCACCUGGGCCUCCACCUGCCACAUCAUGUCUCUCUUCAUCUGGGCCUCCAUCUGCAUCAUCAUGUCUCUCUCUACCUGUUCCUCCACCUGCACCAUCAUGUCUCUCUCCACCUGGGUUUAAUAUCAGAACAUAUUCAAAGCAGCUGAUAAUUAUUUAAAGUGUUACAGUUGGAGGAAGUCUGAGGCUCCAUUGUCACGGGUCUGGUCAAGAACAGUAUUUAAAAGGUCACCUCUCCCAGCUUCAAUAGGCUCUGACCAUCACAGGAAAGACUCAUCACUCUCACCUCUCAACUCAACGUCCACUUGUCUUUCUCUCCGGAGCAUUUCCCCUGGACUGCCAUGAUGAUGAGAAUGAAGCUGACCUUCCUUUUGGCCAUCUUACUUUUUCAACUGACAAUCUCUGUUAAAGGAGGGGCAUCUGCUUCUAAGCCAGCUCAACAGGCAGAUACACAGCAGAAUCCUCCUUCUGGCCGCCGGAAUUCUGCUCCUGCUGCCCUG